This 443-nucleotide ribosomal RNA is filed under the name uncultured bacterium. Its description in RNAcentral is "partial 16S ribosomal RNA". It matches the Rfam family "Bacterial small subunit ribosomal RNA", at positions 338 to 795 of the family's 1533-position model. The record is from RNAcentral.
CCUACGGGUGGCAGCAGUGGGGAAUAUUGGACAAUGGGGGGGAGUCUGAUCCAGCGACGCCGCGUGAGGGAAGAAGGAUUUCGGUAUGGAAAGCUUUAUCAGCAGGGAAGAAAGAAAUGACGGUACCUGACUAAUAAGCCCCGGCUAACUACGUGCCAGCAGCCGCGGUAAUACGUAGGGGGCAAGCGUUAUCCGGAUUUACUGGGUGUAAAGGUAGCGUAGACGGCGAUGCAAGUCUGAAGUGAAAGGCGGGGGCCCAACCUCCGGACUGCUUUGGAAACUGGAUGGCUGGAGUACAGGAGAGGUAAGUGGAAUUCGUGGUGUAGCGGUGAAAUGCGUAGAUAUUACGAGGAACACCAGUGGCGAAGGCGGCUUACUGGACUGUAACUGACGUUGAGGCUCGAAAGCGUGGGGAGCAAACAGGAUUAGAUACCCUAGUAGUC